GUCCAUGGCCAUGUCACCCUGAACAAGCCCAAUGUCGGAUCUCGGAAGCUAAGCAGGGUCGGGCCUGGUUAGUACUUGGAUGGGAGACCACCUAGGAAGACCAGGUGCUGUAGGUA
Non-coding RNA from Pteropus alecto (black flying fox), 116 nucleotides. NCBI's taxonomy places the organism in Eukaryota, Metazoa, Chordata, Mammalia, Chiroptera, Pteropodidae. The record is from Rfam.